RNAcentral lists this unclassified non-coding RNA (172 nucleotides) under plant metagenome. Its description in RNAcentral is "partial contains small subunit ribosomal RNA and internal transcribed spacer 1". The stretch from base 1 to 46 matches the Rfam family "Eukaryotic small subunit ribosomal RNA", at positions 1786 to 1831 of the family's 1831-position model. The record is from RNAcentral.
AAGUCGUAACAAGGUUUCCGUAGGUGAACCUGCGGAAGGAUCAUUAAUAACAGCGAGCAAUCGCUUUAUAUUAUACUAUAAACACCUGUGAACUCUUUUUGGCCUUCGGGCUGGAAAACCAUAUAAAACAUAACUGUCAAUGAAUGUAAAACUAUUAUAAACAAUAAUACAA